UUUAUACUCCCUCCGUCCGGAAAUACUUGUCGAAGAAAUGCAUAAAAAUGAUGUAUGUAGACUAAAAUACAUCUAGAUACAUCCAUUCCUCCGACGAGUAUUUCCGUACGGAGGGAGUAUAUU
Non-coding RNA from Triticum aestivum (bread wheat), 123 nucleotides. The record is from Rfam. NCBI's taxonomy places the organism in Eukaryota, Viridiplantae, Streptophyta, Magnoliopsida, Poales, Poaceae.